RNAcentral lists this non-coding RNA (28 nucleotides) under Rattus norvegicus (Norway rat). Lineage: Eukaryota; Metazoa; Chordata; Mammalia; Rodentia; Muridae. The record is from RNAcentral.
CAGGAAGCCAGAUGACACAUGAGCACCU